Molecule: long non-coding RNA, 256 nt
Filed under: Carica papaya (papaya)
Lineage: Eukaryota; Viridiplantae; Streptophyta; Magnoliopsida; Brassicales; Caricaceae
Description: long non-coding RNA (CPAP_LNC006112)
Source: RNAcentral
AGAGAGGCAAAGGUGGGAGACGGUGGAAGCCAAGUCAAAAGGAAGAAGGAGGAAGAGGAAACAGUCGAGGUGUCGUGUGACGGUAGAGACCGAGGCUGUUUGGGUUUUCGAGCACUGCACCCGAGCUUGGUGCAUUCUUUUUCUUCUUUUGGUUUGUGUUUUUAACCAAACGGGUGUUCAUAUGUGUGUGUGUGUGUAGGUUUGGGAGCUAGGGAGCCGCGGGGUGGCCGAGAGAAGACCAUCAGGAGCCAAGCCG